Myotis davidii is the source of this 73-nucleotide non-coding RNA. The record is from Rfam. NCBI's taxonomy places the organism in Eukaryota, Metazoa, Chordata, Mammalia, Chiroptera, Vespertilionidae.
GGCGGUUCUUUGGUGACACACCCCAGAAUCGGGCUCCCUCCUCCCUAAUUCCAGGUGUGUCACUCAAGAAGCU